RNAcentral lists this ribosomal RNA (327 nucleotides) under uncultured eukaryote. Its description in RNAcentral is "partial 18S ribosomal RNA". It matches the Rfam family "Eukaryotic small subunit ribosomal RNA", at positions 1470 to 1796 of the family's 1831-position model. The record is from RNAcentral.
CCCUUAGAUGUUCUGGGCCGCACGCGCGCUACACUGACGGAGGCAGCGAGCAUGUCCUUCGCCGAGAGGUGUGGGGAAUCUUGUGAGUCUCCGUCGUGCUGGGGAUAGAUGGUUGCAAUUGUCGAUCUUGAACGAGGAAUUCCUAGUAAGUGCAAGUCAUUAACUUGCGCUGAUUACGUCCCUGCCCUUUGUACACACCGCCCGUCGCUCCUACCGAUGAAUGGUCCGGUGAGGAUUCGGGAUGACCUUUGAUGCUGGUCUAACCACAUCACUGACUGUCAGAACUUAUUCAAACCUUAUCAUUUAAAGGAAGGAGAAGUCGUAACA